CGUGUAGGCGGCCAAGCAGGUCUGUUGUGAAAACUGGAGGCUCAACCUCCAGACGUCGACAGAAACCGCUUGGCUAGAGUCCGGAAGAGGAGAGUGGAAUUCCUGGUGUAGCGGUGAAAUGCGCAGAUAUCAGGAAGAACACCAAUGGCGAAGGCAGCUCUCUGGGACGGUACUGACGCUGAGCGCGAAGCGUGGGAGCGAACA
Molecule: ribosomal RNA, 204 nt
Filed under: uncultured bacterium
Lineage: Bacteria
Description: partial 16S ribosomal RNA
Rfam family: Bacterial small subunit ribosomal RNA
Source: RNAcentral